Long non-coding RNA from Ahaetulla prasina, 492 nucleotides. RefSeq lists it as uncharacterized. NCBI's taxonomy places the organism in Eukaryota, Metazoa, Chordata, Lepidosauria, Squamata, Colubridae. The transcript is spliced from 3 exons. The record is from RefSeq and is a predicted model, not a curated record.
UUGAGAACACAUAAAAUAGUCUGAAAUUUCUAUUUCAGAUCCAGAUUCUAAGACAAUUGAUGUGGAUUGCGGGGACAUUCACAGUUCAGGCUGAUUAUUUGGUCAGAAGAGACAGAUUCUGUUGUGAGAAAGUUGCUUUCCCCCCACCUCCUGGUGCUGACCAUCUGAAGGCUAUCUAGAAACUGUCCCAAACUACAUAUGCUAAGUAUGCUUCUUAAAAAUUAAAACAAGUUUGACAUGAUCACUUGCCAGCUCAUAUGGUAAAAUAAAUACACCAAACUAAAUACAAUUCCCAUCUGACCCAGCCAAUAAGAUUAUUUGUAUUUGAGGUGAUGGUGGAAGGAUGCUGUAUUUGAAAUCACCAGAUGAAAAAGUUGAAUUUUUAUUGCCUUCCUUAAUGUUCUCCAGAACCUGUCAGAACCUGCUGGAUUUAACCCCUGGUGGAACUCCUUAGCAUUAGAGGGCUGUUUGGAAAGUGAAACAGCAUUUGUU